RNAcentral lists this ribosomal RNA (92 nucleotides) under uncultured bacterium. RNAcentral's name for it is "partial 16S ribosomal RNA". It matches the Rfam family "Bacterial small subunit ribosomal RNA", at positions 264 to 353 of the family's 1533-position model. The record is from RNAcentral.
CUCACCUAGGCGACGAUCCCUAGCUGGUCUGAGAGGAUGACCAGCCACACUGGAACUGAGACACGGUCCAGACUCCUACGGGAGGCAGCAUG